This 437-nucleotide ribosomal RNA is filed under the name uncultured archaeon. RNAcentral describes it as "bacterial SSU rRNA". It matches the Rfam family "Bacterial small subunit ribosomal RNA", at positions 948 to 1384 of the family's 1533-position model. The record is from RNAcentral.
AAUUCGACGCAACGCGAAGAACCUUACCUGGGCUCGAAAUACUGUGGACCAGCUUAUGAAAGUAGGCCUUCCCGCAAGGGACCGCAGUAUAGGCGCUGCAUGGCUGUCGUCAGCUCGUGUCGUGAGAUGUUGGGUUAAGUCCCGCAACGAGCGCAACCCUUGUCCUGUGUUGCCAUACCGAAAGGUAGAACUCGCAGGAGACCGCCAGGGAUAACCUGGAGGAAGGUGGGGAUGUCGUCAAGUCCUCAUGGCCUCUAUGUCCAGGGUUACACACGUGCUACAAUGGACGGUACAAAGGGCUGCCAACCCGCGAGGGGGAGCCAAUCCCAAAAAACCGUUCUCAGUUCGGAUUGCAGGCUGCAACUCGCCUGCAUGAAGCUGGAAUCGCUAGUAAUGGCGGAUCAGAACGCCGCCGUGAAUACGUUCCCGGGCCUUGU